GCGGCGUGCUUAACACAUGCAAGUCGAACGGAAAGGCCCUGCUUUUGUGGGGUGCUCGAGUGGCGAACGGGUGAGUAACACGUGAGUAACCUGCCCUUGACUUUGGGAUAACUUCAGGAAACUGGGGCUAAUACCGGAUAGGAGCUCCUGCUGCAUGGUGGGGGUUGGAAAGUUUCGGCGGUUGGGGAUGGACUCGCGGCUUAUCAGCUUGUUGGUGGGGUAGUGGCUUACCAAGGCUUUGACGGGUAGCCGGCCUGAGAGGGUGACCGGCCACAUUGGGACUGAGAUACGGCCCAGACUCCUACGGGAGGCAGCAGUGGGGAAUAUUGCACAAUGGGCGGAAGCCUGAUGCAGCAACGCCGCGUGCGGGAUGACGGCCUUCGGGUUGUAAACCGCUUUCGCCUGUGACGAAGCGUGAGUGACGGUGAUGGGUAAAGAAGCACCGGCUAACUACGCGCCAGCAGCCGCGGUGAUACAUAGGGUGCGAGCGUUGUCCGGAUUUAUUGGGCGUAAAGGGCUCGUAGGUGGUUGAUCGCGUCGGAAGUGUAAUCUUGGGGCUUAACCCUGAGCGUGCUUUCGAUACGGGUUGACUUGAGGAAGGUAGGGGAGAAUGGAAUUCCUGGUGGAGCGGUGGAAUGCGCAGAUAUCAGGAGGAACACCAGUGGCGAAGGCGGUUCUCUGGGCCUUUCCUGACGCUGAGGAGCGAAAGCGUGGGGAGCGAACAGGCUUAGAUACCCUGGUAGUCCACGCUGUAAACGGUGGGUACUAGGUGUGGGGUCCAUUCCACGGGUUCCGUGCCGUAGCUAACGCUUUAAGUACCCCGCCUGGGGAGUACGGCCGCAAGGCUAAAACUCAAAGGAAUUGACGGGGCCCCGCACAAGCGGCGGAGCAUGCGGAUUAAUUCGAUGCAACGCGUAGAACCUUACCUGGGUUUGACAUGGAUCGGGAGUGCUCAGAGAUGGGUGUGCCUCUUUUGGGGUCGGUUCACAGGUGGUGCAUGGCUGUCGUCAGCUCGUGUCGUGAGAUGUUGGGUUAAGUCCCGCAACGAGCGCAACCCUUGUUUACUGUUGCCAGCACGUUAUGGUGGGGACUCAGUGGAGACCGCCGGGGUCAACUCGGAGGAAGGUGGGGAUGACGUCAAGUCAUCAUGCCCCUUAUGUCCAGGGCUUCACGCAUGCUACAAUGGCUGGUACAGAGAGUGGCGAGCCUGUGAGGGUGAGCGAAUCUCGGAAAGCCGGUCUCAGUUCGGAUUGGGGUCUGCAACUCGACCUCAUGAAGUCGGAGUCGCUAGUAAUCGCAGAUCAGCAACGCUGCGGUGAAUACGUUCCCGGGGCUUGUACACACCGCCCGUCAAGUCAUGAAAGUUGGUAACACCCGAAGCCGGUGGCCUAACCGUUGUGGGGGAGCCGUCGAAGGUGGGACUGGUGAUUAGGACUAAAA
Molecule: ribosomal RNA, 1440 nt
Filed under: uncultured organism
Description: partial small subunit ribosomal RNA
Rfam family: Bacterial small subunit ribosomal RNA
Source: RNAcentral